ACAGGCAAGCCAUGGUUCACCAUGCAACGUGGCCAUCCCACCCGAGCCACAAGAUCCAUCCUGAGGAGAACUCAGGCCACAAGAAGAUCUGCUUCUUGCCCAACAUGGGUGGUCAGGCACUAAGCAACCCAUGCCUUACAUCCCCCUUCAGCCACUUCCUCCAGAUCACUGCACCCUGAAUCUGUUACCAAGAGUCUUAGAAGAAAAACUAACAUGAGACAGGACCCCUCCUAGCAAGCUCCCCUGCCAGCUCUCCCUUCUCUAUCCAAACUGCCAAUUUUGGAGUGCCCAGUCAUCUUCUACCCUGUAACUCCAUGCCUCCUUUAUGAUAGUAAUUCCCAAAUGUAAGUCUGUAACCUCAACUUUCUAGAGAGAUCCACCUCCCAGUAUAGUAGCCACUACCCAUGUGUGGCCAUUGAGUGCUUAAAAUG
Suricata suricatta (meerkat) is the source of this 431-nucleotide long non-coding RNA. RefSeq lists it as uncharacterized. The record is from RefSeq and is a predicted model, not a curated record. NCBI's taxonomy places the organism in Eukaryota, Metazoa, Chordata, Mammalia, Carnivora, Herpestidae. The transcript is spliced from 3 exons.